GACGAACGCUGGCGGCGUGCUUAACACAUGCAAGUCGAACGGAAAGGCCCUGCUUUUGUGGGGUGCUCGAGUGGCGAACGGGUGAGUAACACGUGAGUAACCUGCCCUUGACUUUGGGAUAACUUCAGGAAACUGGGGCUAAUACCGGAUAGGAGCUCCUGCUGCAUGGUGGGGGUUGGAAAGUUUCGGCGGGUGGGGAUGGACUCGCGGCUUAUCAGCUUGUUGGUGGGGUAGUGGCUUACCAAGGCUUUGACGGGUAGCCGGCCUGGGAGGGUGACCGGCCACAUUGGGACUGAGAUACGCACCAGACUGCUACGGGAGGCAGCAGUGGGGAAUAUUGCACAGUGGGCGGAAGCCUGAUGCAGCAACGCCGCGUGCGGGAUGACGGCCUUCGGGUUGUAAACCGCUUUCGCCUGUGACGAAGCGUGAGUGACGGUAAUGGGUAAAGAAGCACCGGCUAACUACGUG
Molecule: ribosomal RNA, 468 nt
Filed under: uncultured bacterium
Lineage: Bacteria
Description: partial 16S ribosomal RNA
Rfam family: Bacterial small subunit ribosomal RNA
Source: RNAcentral